UCCUACCUUAGCUGAUAGCCCUAGGGGCU
Molecule: small RNA, 29 nt
Filed under: Bombyx mori (domestic silkworm)
Lineage: Eukaryota; Metazoa; Arthropoda; Insecta; Lepidoptera; Bombycidae
Description: ovarian small RNA-27701
Source: RNAcentral